This 289-nucleotide long non-coding RNA is filed under the name Sorghum bicolor (sorghum). RNAcentral's name for it is "long non-coding RNA (SBIC_LNC005879)". Lineage: Eukaryota; Viridiplantae; Streptophyta; Magnoliopsida; Poales; Poaceae. The record is from RNAcentral.
UUCUUCUUCUUGUUGUCCUCCUUAUCUUUGUCUUUCUUGUUGGUGCUGCUGGCGGCAGCGGCCUUCUUUCUAUCCUGCUGCUGUGGAUCGGUGGUGGCAGCGGCAGCUGCCUUCUUUCUCAGGUGAUGCUGAUCCUGCUGCUGUGGAUCGGCGGCCUUCUUUCUCAGGUGAUGCUGAUCCUGCUGCUGCGGAUCGGCGGUGGCCUUCUUCUUCGGCUGCUGCUGAUCUUGCUGUGAGUCGGCGGCCGCGGCGUCGAGACCGAGCGCCUGCCUCCUCCUCUUGCGGUAGC